RNAcentral lists this long non-coding RNA (5879 nucleotides) under Selaginella moellendorffii. RNAcentral's name for it is "long non-coding RNA (SMOE_LNC000843)". Lineage: Eukaryota; Viridiplantae; Streptophyta; Lycopodiopsida; Selaginellales; Selaginellaceae. The record is from RNAcentral.
GGAGGCCGGAAGAGUGGUCCGAGCACAGAUCGUGGAGCUCGGGCUGGACGCUGAGAGGGCGGUGGCCAACGCGGUGCUGGACCUCUACGGCAAGUGUGCCGAGAUCGUCGAGACAGCGGAGAUCUUCGGCAGGAUGAGGCAGCGAGACAGAGUUUCGUGGAACACUAUGGUGGCGGCGUAUGCCCGAGCCGGGCAUACCGCCGGGAGCCUGUGGUGCUUCCGGGCGAUGCAGCUGGAGGGCGUUUGUCCGAGCGAGGUGAGCUUGGUGAGCGCGCUCUCGACAUACAGCCACGCGGGUCUCGUCGAGCAGGGCUGCCAGUGCUUCGCCUCCAUCGCGAGCGACUAUGGGAUGGUUCCAUCGCGCGAGCAGCAGGGGUGUGUGGUGGAUCUCCUGGGCCGAGCGGGGUCGUGGAUUGCGGAGGAUUUGAUCCGGGUGGUGGCUCCAUCCACGUCGAGGUCCGAGCUGUGGAAGGCGGUGUUGAGCGCUUGCAGGAUCCACUCGGACGUGGAGCUGGGCGAGUGCGCGGCUGCUUGUGUUCUGGAGAUGGAUCCUGGCAGUGACUCCGCUCAUAUCAUCUUGUCCAACAUCUAUGCUAUGGAUCAUCCAACUUAGAUGGAGUUUCUUGAGUGUGAUCCUCGAAAACCAUGCAGAGAAGCUUCUCUUGAGGACUUUUCUAUAGCUUGUUGACAUUGUGACAAGGAUAUAGUCUGAAAGGAUUCUAAGCUUGCGAAGAAACCAUGCGGUGGCAAAGAAGGACAUGAUCUUGGUUCCUGCGACGACUUCCUUGGUAUGAUUUCGCAAUGUCGGGCGGUAUCGAAGGUUUAGCCGAGAAUCCCGAGCGGUUUCUUUUCUGGUGAUGCAUCCUCGGAAGACUUCGGCGAGUGGAUAAGCACGGAAAAUUGUACAAAAGUCUGGACAGAAUGGUGGCGUGCCAGCGACUUGAAAAUGGUCGCGUUUUUUUUGACAAGUCAUGUGGCGAGUUUGGUGGGAAGACCAGCGUGAUUAAAGUCUUUGUCGGAAGCUCCGGAUCAUCUCAUCACUCGGUGAUAUAAAAUCGCAAGCUUUUCUCGAGAUCGAUCGCCGAUUUAGAGGUUUGCUUUGCUCUACGAUGAGGCGAUUUGGAGUGAUGUUCCUGGUGCUCUUGGCGCUGGCGGCGGUGGCCACGGAGGUGGAGGCGCAGCAGCAGUGCUUCCGCGAGAGCGCAUGCCUGCCGGGAGGAUUGGACUGUGAUACCUACUGCAAGUCUUGCCAUUUCUUCCAAGAGGGCCAGCGAUGCGUCAAGUGCAAGGGCGGGAGCUGCGAUAUCUUCUUAAGAUGCAUCUGUGAUGCACCAUGCAGCUUCUCAAACUGCCCAAUGCUCUCAGGCUAGAAAACAGCCUGACUCUGUUGCUUGCUUCUCGCAAGGUGAUGAAAUAAAAGUGUCAGCUUAUGUUAAGGACAAAAGUAGUCGUUAAGCCUCUUUGCUUUCACAGACGGCACAGUGGAAAUCCUGUUGGCAAUCAAGCGGAAGGAUGUGAAAUCCAGUUUACUUAUCCGGGUAAGCUUCUCAAGUAGAGAAAGGAGCUGGCUGAUUUUGGUUUUGCUGCCAGUGGUUUGAAGAAUGUUUCACGCCAGAAUGCAAGCAGUGGAGCUUUCAGGGGGUCUUGCUUGGUCAUGGUAGGCUAGCUAGAGAUUCAUUUCUGCUUUAUUCACGGGUGCUUUGGAGAUGAUUUCAUUACCAAUGGAGUCUUGCUAUCCCUUAUCAUAAGAUGCUGCUCUGAGCUUGACAACAAGUCGUUUCCUACUCAGUUUCGCUCAGUUUCGCUCAGUUUCGCUCUUUGCUUUGAUUCACGCUCCAAGGGCGAAGUCCUGGAGCUGCUCAUCGGGUUUGGCGAGCAGCUAGAACGUUUUGCGCAUCUGGUAACUCCUUUUUUUCGCUCAUUUUGUAUGCAACACCCAACUAUGGUGUUCACAGGGUUUAUGGAAGGCCUAUGCUGUUGGUAAGCUAACAAGCACCAGUUAUGAUUUAUUCCGACUGUCACAUCGCAGGCGAGAGCCGCCCUUCUCCCGAACUGCAGCUCGGAAACCUUGAUCAGGUUGCGAACUAUUGUUGGUCCAUGCAGCACGACCGGUAGUAGUAACUCCAUGUUCGAUCUGAUUCUUUUGUACAGUGUCUCUUGAUGAAGUGCCAGAAGAUUGCUCUGCACUUGUCUAUUGUGGAAGAGCUUGCCUUGGUGAGGCCGGAUCAUUCAUUCGUGCUUUUCCGUAGACUCUCAGCGCUAUCCGGCAUGGGCUUGCAGGAGGUGUUUAAAAUGGCAGGGGCGUUCAUGGCCACCUCGGCUGAUCCGAGGGGCAUUUGACAUUAUCGAGUUGGCAUUAAAUCGUGAUCGCCUUGUUUCUACAAGUCAGUGCUAUGAUUCUACGUUGAAGCUCGUAAAGGUGAGUUACAUGUAUUUGCAACUAAGUUAAUCGUGCUUGUUAGUUGAUAUUCAGAUCCACGAGUCGACGUUCGAGUUACUCAGGGACAUAAUGAAUCUGCUGUUUGCUUUUGCCAUCUAUCCGGGCUCUGAUGAAACCAGCCAACAGUUCCUCCAGGUUUGCUCUAAUCGGGGAGUCGACCAGCAGUUACGGAUGGUAAAGAUGAUCAUGUGCAAGAAACGUUGAAAUACUGAGCUCAUAUUUUGCGUGCUACAAGGUGGCGUGUACUGUAUACCUGUACCUGAGCCUCAUGUUAAAGAUGGUAAGACGAGAGCUUCUUUGUGAUUUGUCCCUGCGAGACUCACUCAGGCGAAACGUUUUGGUGCGGAGGAGCUUAAAUGCGUGGUUCAAAGAGCUAAACCCGCAAUCUAUGGAGGUCAAAGUUGAUCGUGGUGCUUCUAUAACGCGUAGAAGUGCGGUUCCCUACCUAGAGCAUGCUCUACUGGCGACGAAGGACCCCAAGUUUAUUGUGGAAAACGGCCUUCCUUCCGAGCUCUAACGCAUGUAAGAGACUGUACGGUAGAUAAACUGCAAGUUUCUAUAGAACCCUAAAGACGUAUAAACUCCAUGAGGGUCUAGGGCUUAGUGAUCGUCCUAGUUGUUGAGCGCAGGGGUGAGGCCCGGAUCUCGGCGUCGGCGCUGGCAUUUUGGGAUACUGCAUUCUAGUAGCAGCGAACACUGUUGAUUCGGGCAAAUGCAGACAGUCGGAGGCGAUCCUGGCAUGGCUACAAGAGGAGAUCGGCUACAGAUCCUUCCAAAUUCUUGAGAUCUUUCAAAGUUCUUACUUUUUUCUCUUUUUUCUCUCUUGGAAACCAGGCACAAACAAGUCCAGCUUGUGCAGAUCAUUGCCGAGUACCGGCGAAGAUUAGCAAGGUAUGUUGACCGUGCUUGAGAGGCACAAAGAAGGAAGCUUGCGGAGUCCAAGAAAGAGCAAGACACCGUGUAUGCAACGCCGAUCAAAGGUGACGAUCAGAUCCUCAUAGAGACUGCGCAGGAACAUCGCCUGCAAGAACCCGAGCUUUGCAACCUCGACGGCCUGUGGCUCUCUCCUCCUCCGUACGAGGGAAACGAGAGCGUGAUCUUCUCAGUAAGCUGUCGCGAUAGCAGCUCGCAUGCCUUUCUUAUACUCCUGCUUGAGUCGAUCACCAAAGUAACGGAGAGGAUCGACAUCCGAGCGGACGCAGAGAAGCUAAGGUUUGUGAGUGCUGCUGAUCUGCAUGAAGUAUAGGAAUCUAACUUGGUGUUUGUACCACCAGGUACAAGUACGAGAACAACGAAAUAGUGGAUGAUUUGUCCACUGAGCCAGAAGAUUCACCACUUGGCAAGAAGCUUAGCGGUAAAGUUGGAUUGGAGAUGUCUAAUAGGAGAACGAAUUGGGAGAUUCGCGAGAGACAGGGAAUGCAAGGUUUUUGUCUUUCUUCUAGUCAUGAAAGUGUCUUUUGCGUUGCAGAAAGCUCAUGUUCAGCAGUUUAUGGCAACGGAAGAAGCUUUGAACGAAGCUGCAGAGGCCAAAGCUGCAAGCGACAAGUUAAUCAAGUCGCUCAGUGGUGGAACGGAGCUCGACUACGUCCAGAACGAGGGAGGGCUUCGCCAACUGGAGGUAACUCAUCUUCUAUUUCGUCCGUCGAGCUGAGCCGUGUGUUACUUAGUGCGAGGUGUGGGCCAAGGAGCGGCAGUUAGCUGGUGUCAAGGCAAGCGUAGCGACACUCACGUCGGAGGUUCAACGUUCGAAAAAGCUAUGCGAAGAAAGAAAACAAGCGGAGGAAUCCCUGAGGCGGAAAAGAAUCGAGGAGUUCGACGCCCGCCGCAGGGAGCUGGAAUCUGUUUACACGGCGUUGAUCCGAGCUAAUAUGGUAAGCAGCAGCUUAGCAUUUCAUAGGCAAGUUUGGCAGUCUGGAAAAAAUCUCACGAAUAAUUUGUAGGAAGCUGCUGCUGCGAGGGAGCAACAUCCGGCCGCAGCAUUCGAGUAUUCUGCCAACACAAUACUUCCUGUCUGUAAUAUGGUACAAGAGAAGACCGUGGGUGCUCAGGACCUCUUAGAAAGAGAAGCCACCAUUUUUCAGAGAAGCCCGGACAACCGGCUGUAUAUGCUGCCUGUCACACCUCAGGUGUGUGAAAUCUGCCGGAUAGCUGCAGCAUCACAAUACUCGCAAGGUAUGUAAAUUUGUUUCAUCCGUCAAACAAGUUUUCCUCUUUCUUUUUGUUUCGUAUUGUAGGAGCUGAAGCACAAGAUGCUGGCAUGAUAGCCAUUGUGGAAGCGCUGAGGUUCUGUCUCAAGCCUUGCUCUUCUCCGGCCAGCUUUGUCCGGUCUUUGUCCGGCCAGCCUUCGUGACUUCUUUCUUGGAAACAAGCUCCCGAAUGUUCUCGUCACCUGGAUUAAAUGUUUCAAGAGUUAACUUAGAAAGCACGGAUCCAAGCCUUCUCACCGACGAUUGUAGUUGUUUCGGUCCACUCGUCCACUUGACUCAGGCUGGCCACGAAGGGUUAAAGUGGUUGGGGUGGCCUGUUAAAGUUGCUCGAGCUCGUCACAGGCUGGUUUUGUGCAUCGGUUGCUCUUUGAGAGCGGGUUCCAGUUCAACGCCAUGGUAGAGUCCUCUCUCGUGGACGCGUAUGGCAAAUGCAAGAACGUCAGUGCUGCAAGGACAGUGAUUAGCUCCAUGACGGACAAGACCAACGUGGUGUCUUGGAACUCUUUCAUCAGAGCUUUGGCCAGCAGCAGAGAUGCGAGUGGAGCUCUUCAAACGUUUCGAAGCUUGCUCUCCAAGGCUUGGUUCCCGACACGGUUACGUUCAUCAAUGCCAGCCAGGGAGCGAGAACUCCUCCGGAAGCAAAGUACCUCGAAGCUUGCCGCCAGGAGAGUGGGGUCCAACUGGACGUAGCUCUCGGCAACGCUCUCAUCAACAUGUUUGGCGGCAGCAGCCAGCCUUGCGAAGCUCGGAGAGUUUUCGAUGCGACUCACAACAAGAACAUCGUUUCCUGGAACGCGAUGCUGUCGGCUUACUCUCAGAACGGACACUUCGUUCUGAGGGACGCUUUCAGCCGGAGUCCAUCCUCGGACGUGGUAGCAUGGACUGUGAUGAUCUCGGUCUAUGCUCAGAACGGUCGACCCCAGGAAGCCAUCGCUCUCUUCUUCCGCAUAACAGUCCCGCCAGAUGGCGUUGUCUUCGCCACCGCUCUGGAAGCCUGUGCGAGAGCCGAGAACUUGGAGGCCGGGAGAGUGGUCCGAGCAAAGAUCGUGGACGCUGAGAGGGCGGUGGCCAACGCGGUGCUGGACCUCUACGGCAAGUGUGCCGAGAUCGUCGAGACAGCGGAGAUCUUCGACAGGAUGAGGCAGCGAGACACAGUUUCGUGGAACACUAUGGUGGCGGCGUAUGCCCCAGCCGGGCAUACCGCCUGGAGCCUGUGGUGCUUCCGGGCGAUG